RNAcentral lists this ribosomal RNA (880 nucleotides) under Globorotalia truncatulinoides. RNAcentral's name for it is "bacterial SSU rRNA". The stretch from base 22 to 528 matches the Rfam family "Eukaryotic small subunit ribosomal RNA", at positions 1178 to 1501 of the family's 1831-position model. Lineage: Eukaryota; Foraminifera; Rotaliida; Globorotaliidae. The record is from RNAcentral.
AAGGGCACCACAAGAACGCGUGGAGCAUGUGGCUUAAUUUGACUCAACGCGGGGAAUCUUACCGGGUCCGGACACACUGAGGAUUGACAGACGGUUAUUGACUUAUACUCGCUUAAUGGCUUUAAGCUGUUAAACGUUUAACACCUUUACACAAAGAUGCUAGUCCUUUCAUGAUCGUUUGAUAGGUGGUGCAUGGCCGUUCUUAGUUCGUGGAGUGAUCUGUCUGCCUAAUUGCGUUUCACUAAGGUCCCAUUCUUCAUACGUAUGAAUAGCGUCUUAACUAUCUCUUACCGCUACCUAUUUGUAGUAAGCGCUCAUACUAUUGGGACCGGAAUGCAACGAGCGCGACUGCACCACCUAAUUGCCCCUUAUCUACCAUUAAUUACUUUAUUAACCGCCCUGUACGGGCACCGGGGCCUUACCUUUACUGAAACUAGCUGGACCGCUGCUUUCCUUUAAGCCAGAGGAAGGUUGCGGCAAUAACAGGUCUGUGAUGCCCUCAGAUGUUCCGGGCCGCACACGUGCUACAAUGAUCAGCACAAAGAGUAUUACCUAUCUUCUUAUACCUAACCCAAUAUGUUAAACUUAUUGCGUAAGGGUAUUGUCUUAACGACUUAUCCGCUUUAGCGCUUUAAGAUUAUUGGACGGUUAUGCCUGCCUCGAGAGAGUGUACAGGGCAGCAAGAGUAAUGAUUCCCUCGUUUUUACUACUAAUACCGCGCUUGGUAACAUAUUACACUCGAUUAAGUAGGGUCUUUGCUUCUAAUAGCAAUUGCUAUCCUCACCCUUAGGCUCUAAGGAUAUUACUAUCUCUAAGGUCUACAGGGAGGUGUAUAUGGCGCAUUUACUUAUUCACGGUGGGGACAGACCAUUGUUAACUG